RNAcentral lists this ribosomal RNA (497 nucleotides) under uncultured bacterium. RNAcentral describes it as "partial 16S ribosomal RNA". It matches the Rfam family "Bacterial small subunit ribosomal RNA", at positions 28 to 507 of the family's 1533-position model. The record is from RNAcentral.
GAUGAACGCUGGCGGCGUGCAUAAUACAUGCAAGUCGAGCGAACAGACGAGGAGCUUGCUCCUCUGACGUUAACGGCGGACGGGUGAGUAACACGUGGCUAACCUACCUUUUAGACUGGGAUAACUUCGGGAAACCGGUGCUAAUACCGGAUAAUCUAUUGAACCGCCUGGUUCAAUUAUGAAAGUCGGUUUUGCUGUCACUUAUAGAUGGAUCCGCGCCUCAUUAGCUAGUUGGUAAGGUAACGGCUUACCCAGGCAACGAUGCGUAGCAGACCUCAGAGGGUGAUCGGCCACACUGGAACUGAGACACGGUCCAGACUCCUACGGGAGGCAGCAGUAGGGAAUCUUCCGCAAUGGGCGAAAGCCUGACGGAGCAACGCCGCGUGAGUGAGGAAGGUCUUCGGAUCGUAAAACUCUGUGAUUAGGGAAGAACAAACGUGUAAGUAACUAUGCACGUCUUGACGGUACCUAAUCAGAAAGCCACGGCUAACUACGUG